This 253-nucleotide ribosomal RNA is filed under the name uncultured bacterium. RNAcentral's name for it is "partial 16S ribosomal RNA". It matches the Rfam family "Bacterial small subunit ribosomal RNA", at positions 524 to 776 of the family's 1533-position model. The record is from RNAcentral.
UACGUAGGGGGCAAGCGUUGUCCGGAAUUAUUGGGCGUAAAGAGCGUGUAGGCGGUCCGGUAAGUCAGCUGUGAAAGUCAAGGGCUCAACCCUUGAAAGCCGGUUGAUACUGUCGGGCUAGAGUCCGGAAGAGGCGAGUGGAAUUCCCGGUGUAGCGGUGAAAUGCGCAGAUAUCGGGAGGAACACCCGUGGCUAAGGCGGUUCUCUAGUACGGUACUGACGCUGAGACGCGAAAGCGUGGGGAGCGAACAGG